RNAcentral lists this small nuclear RNA (98 nucleotides) under Peromyscus maniculatus bairdii (prairie deer mouse). The record is from RNAcentral. Lineage: Eukaryota; Metazoa; Chordata; Mammalia; Rodentia; Cricetidae.
GUGUUCACUUUGGGAGCACAGAGGCCAGAAGUGGAAUGAAGUGAGAAUAUCCCCUACACAAGGAUGAUAUGCAAAUUUGUGAAGCAUCCCAUACUUUA